CGACGAGCAUUUACAUUCAAGCACUUACAGAGACUUAAAUGCUCGCAACAACGGUGGUACGACAGCAAGUGAACUCCAACAUACCGAGCAUCCGCGCAAAUCAGUCUCUCUCUCUCAAUACCAUUUAACGUCUCUUCGCUAAGGUAGCGAGUAGAGACAACCAAGAGCCAGCCAAACUACACCCCUCCCGUCCCCCCCCUGGUGUAGUUUGGGGUGGGGCGAGCGACAAGACCACACAACCAACCACCCUAGAGGUAACGCCCUGAGACCCCGGCGACUAAAGUAAAUCGUCCUAGCAAUCGCAAGACCGCUAAGGCGAGAAGCAGGCACUCAGUUGCGGGGCCGCACAUUGCGGUCGUGACGAUGAGGAUCAAGGUAUCGCUCCAGCACAGCCGGAGUCCGAAGCUGACUGAACUCCAUCAGGGCGGGAACUCCCGCACCGGCCGACGCAGCGGCCUGCAGGGCACCCCGGCGGAAACUGUGCACAGUUUCCCCGUCGUACAACUGAGCAGCCCACAGGUGUAGCCGUAACCGCGCGGCAAGAGUGGCGCUCUGCAGCGCUUCCGCCUUGAAAGCCCGCUGGUCCGCCGUCAGCGGGCGAAACAGCGUGUCUUGGACAGUGCUCCCAGGAGGGGCACCAGGCUGGGCGCAAGACCACAUGUAAAAAGCCAGAGUACGCGGGAUGCAGAAAGGGGGGUCCUCACUGUUGGGCCGCAGCAGCACCGCGGGGCCACGCACCAGCCGAUAGGUCUUAGUCCCCCGCUGACGGAAGCAGAGGGUAGGACAUCCACCAGGGCCCCAAGACCAUGGCGGAGGUAGCGGGAACCCAGAGUACGGUCGGUCAGGCUGCGAAGGUUCGACGAAGUCACCCACCCCCAGCUUCCCGAUAUCGUGACCCCUCUGGGCAGUCUGCCACAGGAGAAGCACGCACAACAGGUCCCGCAGGAAGACCAGUCGGGGCAAAGCUUCGUCAGUCACCACCACUUGCGACCACAAGUAGCCCACGAGAGCACGGUACUUGUCAUAAGACAAAGGUACUGCCGAAACCUCGGUGUAACCCCCGGCGACCUGGGACCGCUGAUACGACGCGCGGAAAUCCUCAACCCAGAUGCAAUCGCAAGGGUUGCCUUGGCCGGUGGAGACGUCGAAUCGACCACCCCGGCCCACACGGCUGAAGAAACCACUCAGGCAGGACAGGUGGGACUUAACGGCGGCAGGCCCUACGGGGCCGCCACUUCGGCCCUGAUGCCGGGGCAGCCACCAAACCGUCAUAUAGACGAGCACGUCGUCUGGCGUACAAUUCCACCAGUCCCGACCACGACCAUGGCUGGAAAGCCAACUCAGGAACUCGGUGACGGCACCAUCCUGGCGGGACACCGUAGAAGAGGCUAGGGCACCAAGGAGCAUCUGGUUGGCCGCGGCCAGACCCCGCUGGUAAGACGCUUCUUGAUCCGCGGCUGAAAUGAGGGGCGAAGGGCGGAGCCGAGCGAUAACCUGGUCUAGGCGACCGCGAGCCACACCCAAGGGGGCAGGUGCCUGCAGUCCGAGAGAAUCGCUUAGGAGAGCGCUAGAGCAGGGUCAGCAGCCAAAGGACUUCUCUACCAACCUGGGCAGGAACGCCCAGCGGGAAAGGCCGGCUAACGGGGGGCCCAGCGGAUCCGGCGGCGGCGCCGGUGACAACCCCAGGGCCAAGAAAGAACUCCUACGGCAGGCGAGACACGAUAAUCAGCCAACAUUGCACACAGAACAGGGGGCAGCAAACGGAUAACCCACAGAAGGCGCCAAAGGUGGAGACUCGAGAGAGGGAGCCGACAAUCCAACCAAGGAAAGCGGACCCCCCGGAAGGCCGAGGCCGCCAGUGCGAAGAGGGACCUGCGGGGAGACGGGCCCGUCUAUCGCAAGCGCAAAGGACAACACAAUAGCUCGGCGACACCUCACCACACCACGUAAGCCCCAUCCAGGAACAAAGGAAGGCUGCGCGGAGCUAGUCGCGUCAGUGCCAAGAAAGGCUAAGCCAUCGACCUGGGCACGACAGCGGUACGGAAACGCAUCAGAAUGAUCGCACAUUCAGGAAAACCGGGAAUCAGUGGUUUACAUCUAAGUAAUCUAAACCUAAGGAGAAGGAGAUCAGUCGCGAUGCAAGUAGGCAGAUGAACAGGGCGUAAAUCGCCCACGCACAUGGAGACCGGGGAUCCUCANNNNNNNNNNNNNNNNNNNNNNNNNNNNNNNNNNNNNNNNNNNNNNNNNNNNNNNNNNNNNNNNNNNNNNNNNNNNNNNNNNNUUUGGCCGCGCUGGGGAGAGCUAGGCUGGCAACGUUACCCAUAAAAGCGCGGAGGCGUUUGCCGCACAUCCUCACCCCUUUCAGGCCGAGUUACGCGACCGAGGUAGUGUUCAUUUUGAGGUAAGGCAGGGCCGACUAGGCGCGAGAGUACGACAGGGAAGAUAGCGAAAGCGAGGAUCCAAGGAAGCCCGGAGACAUGACAAGGCUGAGACUUGCAGACGAGCCGCAAGGCGGUGUGGCUGGGAGGUGGUGUGGCCUGAUUAAACAUUGGGAUCGGGUGUAAGGCUGGACGCAAAGGCCCACUUCACGCUAGUCCGGUACGGAGCGACGAGCAUUUACAUUCAAGCACUUACAGAGACUUAAAUGCUCGCAACAACGGUGGUACGACAGCAAGUGAACUCCAACAUACCGAGCAUCCGCGCAAAUCAGUCUCUCUCUCUCAAUACCAUUUAACGUCUCUUCGCUAAGGUAGCGAGUAGAGACAACCAAGAGCCAGCCAAACUACACCCCUCCCGUCCCCCCCCUGGUGUAGUUUGGGGUGGGGCGAGCGACAAGACCACACAACCAACCACCCUAGAGGUAACGCCCUGAGACCCCGGCGACUAAAGUAAAUCGUCCUAGCAAUCGCAAGACCGCUAAGGCGAGAAGCAGGCACUCAGUUGCGGGGCCGCACAUUGCGGUCGUGACGAUGAGGAUCAAGGUAUCGCUCCAGCACAGCCGGAGUCCGAAGCUGACUGAACUCCAUCAGGGCGGGAACUCCCGCACCGGCCGACGCAGCGGCCUGCAGGGCACCCCGGCGGAAACUGUGCACAGUUUCCCCGUCGUACAACUGAGCAGCCCACAGGUGUAGCCGUAACCGCGCGGCAAGAGUGGCGCUCUGCAGCGCUUCCGCCUUGAAAGCCCGCUGGUCCGCCGUCAGCGGGCGAAACAGCGUGUCUUGGACAGUGCUCCCAGGAGGGGCACCAGGCUGGGCGCAAGACCACAUGUAAAAAGCCAGAGUACGCGGGAUGCAGAAAGGGGGGUCCUCACUGUUGGGCCGCAGCAGCACCGCGGGGCCACGCACCAGCCGAUAGGUCUUAGUCCCCCGCUGACGGAAGCAGAGGGUAGGACAUCCACCAGGGCCCCAAGACCAUGGCGGAGGUAGCGGGAACCCAGAGUACGGUCGGUCAGGCUGCGAAGGUUCGACGAAGUCACCCACCCCCAGCUUCCCGAUAUCGUGACCCCUCUGGGCAGUCUGCCACAGGAGAAGCACGCACAACAGGUCCCGCAGGAAGACCAGUCGGGGCAAAGCUUCGUCAGUCACCACCACUUGCGACCACAAGUAGCCCACGAGAGCACGGUACUUGUCAUAAGACAAAGGUACUGCCGAAACCUCGGUGUAACCCCCGGCGACCUGGGACCGCUGAUAC
Molecule: long non-coding RNA, 3690 nt
Filed under: Volvox carteri
Lineage: Eukaryota; Viridiplantae; Chlorophyta; Chlorophyceae; Chlamydomonadales; Volvocaceae
Description: long non-coding RNA (VCAR_LNC000521)
Source: RNAcentral